AAGUUUAUAUCUUUUCAAGCAGGGGUCGCCAACCUUUUGGACCUCAGGGACCACCACACCCAUACUUUUGAACCCUGCAGACCAGAGACGCUGGGAAAAU
Non-coding RNA from Pseudonaja textilis, 100 nucleotides. NCBI's taxonomy places the organism in Eukaryota, Metazoa, Chordata, Lepidosauria, Squamata, Elapidae. The record is from RefSeq and is a predicted model, not a curated record.